This 1408-nucleotide ribosomal RNA is filed under the name Staphylococcus sp. SL013D.K. Its description in RNAcentral is "bacterial SSU rRNA". It matches the Rfam family "Bacterial small subunit ribosomal RNA". Lineage: Bacteria; Bacillati; Bacillota; Bacilli; Caryophanales; Staphylococcaceae. The record is from RNAcentral.
CGAGCGAACAGAUGAGAAGCUUGCUUCUCUGAUGUUAGCGGCGGACGGGUGAGUAACACGUGGGUAACCUACCUAUAAGACUGGGAUAACUCCGGGAAACCGGGGCUAAUACCGGAUAAUAUUUUGAACCGCAUGGUUCAAUAGUGAAAGACGGUUUCGGCUGUCACUUAUAGAUGGACCCGCGCCGUAUUAGCUAGUUGGUAAGGUAACGGCUUACCAAGGCGACGAUACGUAGCCGACCUGAGAGGGUGAUCGGCCACACUGGAACUGAGACACGGUCCAGACUCCUACGGGAGGCAGCAGUAGGGAAUCUUCCGCAAUGGGCGAAAGCCUGACGGAGCAACGCCGCGUGAGUGAUGAAGGUCUUCGGAUCGUAAAACUCUGUUGUUAGGGAAGAACAAAUUUGUUAGUAACUGAACAAGUCUUGACGGUACCUAACCAGAAAGCCACGGCUAACUACGUGCCAGCAGCCGCGGUAAUACGUAGGUGGCAAGCGUUAUCCGGAAUUAUUGGGCGUAAAGCGCGCGUAGGCGGUUUCUUAAGUCUGAUGUGAAAGCCCACGGCUCAACCGUGGAGGGUCAUUGGAAACUGGGAAACUUGAGUGCAGAAGAGGAGAGUGGAAUUCCAUGUGUAGCGGUGAAAUGCGCAGAGAUAUGGAGGAACACCAGUGGCGAAGGCGGCUCUCUGGUCUGUAACUGACGCUGAUGUGCGAAAGCGUGGGGAUCAAACAGGAUUAGAUACCCUGGUAGUCCACGCCGUAAACGAUGAGUGCUAAGUGUUAGGGGGUUUCCGCCCCUUAGUGCUGCAGCUAACGCAUUAAGCACUCCGCCUGGGGAGUACGACCGCAAGGUUGAAACUCAAAGGAAUUGACGGGGACCCGCACAAGCGGUGGAGCAUGUGGUUUAAUUCGAAGCAACGCGAAGAACCUUACCAAAUCUUGACAUCCUUUGACCGCUCUAGAGAUAGAGUCUUCCCCUUCGGGGGACAAAGUGACAGGUGGUGCAUGGUUGUCGUCAGCUCGUGUCGUGAGAUGUUGGGUUAAGUCCCGCAACGAGCGCAACCCUUAAGCUUAGUUGCCAUCAUUAAGUUGGGCACUCUAGGUUGACUGCCGGUGACAAACCGGAGGAAGGUGGGGAUGACGUCAAAUCAUCAUGCCCCUUAUGAUUUGGGCUACACACGUGCUACAAUGGAUAAUACAAAGGGCAGCGAAUCCGCGAGGCCAAGCAAAUCCCAUAAAAUUAUUCUCAGUUCGGAUUGUAGUCUGCAACUCGACUACAUGAAGCUGGAAUCGCUAGUAAUCGUAGAUCAGCAUGCUACGGUGAAUACGUUCCCGGGUCUUGUACACACCGCCCGUCACACCACGAGAGUUUGUAACACCCGAAGCCGGUGGAGUAACCUUUUAGGAGCU